Molecule: ribosomal RNA, 474 nt
Filed under: uncultured bacterium
Lineage: Bacteria
Description: bacterial SSU rRNA
Rfam family: Bacterial small subunit ribosomal RNA
Source: RNAcentral
UGGGGAAUUGUUCACAAUGGGCGCAAGCCUGAUGACGCAACGCCGCGUGGGGGAUGAAGGUCUUCGGAUCGUAAACCCCUGUCGAAUGGGACGAAAGACUCGCGAGUGAAUACUUCGCGAGAGUGACGGUACCGUUAAAGGAAGCCACGGCUAACUCUGUGCCAGCAGCCGCGGUAAUACAGAGGUGGCAAGCGUUGUUCGGAAUUACUGGGCGUAAAGGGCGCGUAGGCGGCCCUCUAAGUCAGACGUGAAAUCCCCCGGCUUAACCUGGGAACUGCGUCUGAUACUGGAGGGCUUGAGUAUGGGAGAGGGAUGUAGAAUUCCAGGUGUAGCGGUGAAAUGCGUAGAUAUCUGGAGGAAUACCGGUGGCGAAGGCGGCAUCCUGGACCAUUACUGACGCUGAGGCGCGAAAGCUAGGGGAGCAAACGGGGAUUAGAUACCCAGGUAGUCCCUGAGCGGGCUGGCAAGGCGCAU